Molecule: long non-coding RNA, 793 nt
Organism: Vicia villosa (hairy vetch)
Lineage: Eukaryota; Viridiplantae; Streptophyta; Magnoliopsida; Fabales; Fabaceae
Exons: 2
Source: RefSeq, a predicted model, not a curated record
AAUACCUCGUGUUUUCUAUGACGUUACAUUGGCCUUAAAAGCAUUGGGAGUAUUCAUUUUCUCGGCUGAAGUUGUUAGACAUUCGACACAAGAACGCCAGUGGGAAGUCUACAGGUUUUUGUUGGAGGAAAGUCGGGAAUUUCCAUUGGACAGCAGUAAAGCAAGAAGUCAGAUUGUGGACAAAGUUAGAAGAACAUUGAUGGGUUGGUAAUUUGGUUCAGUUCAUAUCAAAUAAAAAACACUAUUUGAGUAUUUGUGUUGCUGUCAUUUAAAUUUGGUUUAGGUAUUAGUUAUUUAACUAAUCAUGUAAAUUUGGCACUGUGGUAGCUGAUGGUGUUUCUGACUGAGGAUUGUUCCGAGGAAUUCUGCUAGUACCCUUGUUAUUGCAGACCUACCGGAGAAAUGUUGGUUUUCGAAACUGUUAGUGCUGAGUCGGCUACAAUUAUAUCUCAAGUGUGCUUCUAGGAAAUUCAAACCUAUCCAAUCAACAAAUCCAUAAGCAAUUACCACAUGAAGCAAUGCUGGAAUAACAGAAAGGUAAACCAGUGGCAUCACUACAGAUUGUGUCUGUAGAAACCUCAAGAUGUUUUGCAAGAUGCUAUAUGCAGAUUGUGUCUUCUAGGAAAUUGUUAGAUAAUCACUGCAAACGCAGUCCUAUAGUGAAAGAAUUGUUAUACUUUGCAGCAGACUGAGGCCACCUUAAACUGUAGAUAUGUAAUGUUUGAAACUUGUAGUCUUUGUUUCUUGAUGUAAAUUUUCAUGAUUUUGUAUUAAUGUAUAAAUUGGAGAAUCA